This 500-nucleotide ribosomal RNA is filed under the name uncultured Glomus. RNAcentral describes it as "SSU rRNA". It matches the Rfam family "Eukaryotic small subunit ribosomal RNA", at positions 591 to 1092 of the family's 1831-position model. The record is from RNAcentral. Lineage: Eukaryota; Fungi; Glomeromycota; Glomeromycetes; Glomerales; Glomeraceae.
CCAAUAGCGUAUAUUAAAGUUGUUGCAGUUAAAAAGCUCGUAGUUGAAUUUCGGGGUUAGUAGGUUGGUCGUGCCACUGGUAUGUACUGGUCUUACUGACUUCUCCUUUCUGAAGAACUGUAAUGCCAUUAAUUUGGUGUUGCAGGGAAUCAGGACUGUUACUUUGAAAAAAUUAGAGUGUUUAAAGCAGGCUAACGCUUGAAUACAUUAGCAUGGAAUAAUGAAAUAGGACGUUCGAUCCUAUUUUGUUGGUUUCUAGGAUUGACGUAAUGAUUAAUAGGGAUAGUUGGGGGCAUUAGUAUUCAAUUGUCAGAGGUGAAAUUCUUGGAUUUAUUGAAGACUAACUACUGCGAAAGCAUUUGCCAAGGAUGUUUUCAUUAAUCAAGAACGAAAGUUAGGGGAUCGAAGACGAUCAGAUACCGUCGUAGUCUUAACCAUAAACUAUGCCGACUAGGGAUCGGAUGAUGUUAAUUUUUUAAUGACUCAUUCGGCGCCUUACG